RNAcentral lists this ribosomal RNA (447 nucleotides) under uncultured bacterium. RNAcentral's name for it is "partial 16S ribosomal RNA". It matches the Rfam family "Bacterial small subunit ribosomal RNA", at positions 330 to 793 of the family's 1533-position model. The record is from RNAcentral.
CCCAGACUCCUACGGGAGGCAGCAGUGGGGGAUAUUGCACAAUGGGGGGAACCCUGAUGCAGCGACGCCGCGUGGGUGAAGGAGCGUUUCGGCGCGUAAAGCCCUAUCGGCAGGGAAGAAGGAGGACGGUACCUGACCAAGAAGCCCCGGCUAACUACGUGCCAGCAGCCGCGGUAAUACGUAGGGGGCAAGCGUUAUCCGGGUUUACUGGGUGUAAAGGGGGCGCAGACGGCAGCGCAAGCCAGGAGUGAAAGCCCGGGGCCCAACCCCGGGACUGCUCUUGGAACUGCGCGGCUGGAGUGCAGGAGGGGCAGGCGGAAUUCCUGGUGUAGCGGUGAAAUGCGUAGAUAUCAGGAGGAACACCGGUGGCGAAGGCGGCCUGCUGGACUGCGACUGACGUUGAGGCCCGAAAGCGUGGGGAGCAAACAGGAUUAGAUACCCUCGUAC